Molecule: ribosomal RNA, 253 nt
Filed under: uncultured bacterium
Lineage: Bacteria
Description: partial 16S ribosomal RNA
Rfam family: Bacterial small subunit ribosomal RNA
Source: RNAcentral
UACGUAGGCAGCAAGCGUUGUUCGGAAUUACUGGGCGUAAAGAGUGUGUAGGCGGUGCUCUAAGUCUGUUGUGAAAUCUCCCGGCUUAACUGGGAGGGUGCGGCGGAGACUGGAGUGCUAGAGUGUGGGAGAGGUAAGCGGAAUUCCUGGUGUAGCGGUGAAAUGCGUAGAUAUCGGGAGGAACAUCAGUGGCGAAGGCGGCCCUCUGGUCCAGUACUGACACUCAAGUGCGAAAGCGUGGGGAGCAAACAGG